This 544-nucleotide ribosomal RNA is filed under the name uncultured bacterium. Its description in RNAcentral is "bacterial SSU rRNA". It matches the Rfam family "Bacterial small subunit ribosomal RNA", at positions 427 to 963 of the family's 1533-position model. The record is from RNAcentral.
AAAGCUCUUUCAGCCGGGAAGAAAACGCAUGGGUUAAUACCCUGUGUGGAUGACGGUACCGGAAUAAGAAGCACCGGCUAACUACGUGCCAGCAGCCGCGGUAAUACGUAGGGUGCGAGCGUUAAUCGGAAUUACUGGGCGUAAAGCGUGCGCAGGCGGUUUGUUAAGAUAGGCGUGAAAUCCCCGGGCUCAACCUGGGAACUGCGUUUAUGACUGGCAGGCUAGAGUAUGGCAGAGGGGGGUGGAAUUCCACGUGUAGCAGUGAAAUGCGUAGAGAUGUGGAGGAACACCGAUGGCGAAGGCAGCCCCCUGGGCCAAUACUGACGCUCAUGCACGAAAGCGUGGGUAGCAAACAGGAUUAGAUACCCUGGUAGUCCACGCCCUAAACGAUGUCAACUAGGUGUUGGGAGGGUAAAACCUUUUAGUACCGGAGCUAACGCGUGAAGUUGACCGCCUGGGGAGUACGGCCGCAAGGUUAAAACUCAAAGGAAUUGACGGGACCCGCACAAGCGGUGGAUGAUGUGGAUUAAUUCGAUGCAACGCG